GGCGAACGGGUGAGUAACGCGUGGGCAACCUGCCCUCCAGUUGGGGACAACAUUCCGAAAGGGAUGCUAAUACCGAAUGUGCUCCCUCCUCCGCAUGGAGGAGGGAGGAAAGAUGGCCUCUGCUUGCAAGCUAUCGCUGGAAGAUGGGCCCGCGUCUGAUUAGCUAGUUGGUGGGGUAACGGCUCACCAAGGCGAUGAUCAGUAGCCGGUCUGAGAGGAUGAACGGCCACAUUGGGACUGAGACACGGCCCAAACUCCUACGGGAGGCAGCAGUGGGGAAUCUUCCGCAAUGGACGAAAGUCUGACGGAGCAACGCCGCGUGAGUGAUGAAGGUCUUCGGAUUGUAAAACUCUGUUGUUAGGGACGAAAGCACCGUGUUCGAACAGGUCAUGGUGUUGACGGUACCUAACG
Molecule: ribosomal RNA, 411 nt
Filed under: Acidaminococcus sp. HGA0007
Lineage: Bacteria; Bacillati; Bacillota; Negativicutes; Acidaminococcales; Acidaminococcaceae
Description: bacterial SSU rRNA
Rfam family: Bacterial small subunit ribosomal RNA
Source: RNAcentral